RNAcentral lists this ribosomal RNA (576 nucleotides) under uncultured eukaryote. RNAcentral's name for it is "SSU rRNA". It matches the Rfam family "Eukaryotic small subunit ribosomal RNA", at positions 203 to 784 of the family's 1831-position model. The record is from RNAcentral.
UAUUUAUUAGAUAAAAAACCAAUGCCCUUCGGGGCUCCUUGGUGAAUCAUAAUAACUUAACGAAUCGCAUGGCCUUGCGCCGGCGAUGGUUCAUUCAAAUUUCUGCCCUAUCAACUUUCGAUGGUAGGAUAGUGGCCUACCAUGGUAUCAACGGGUAACGGGGAAUUAGGGUUCGACUCCGGAGAGGGAGCCUGAGAAACGGCUACCACAUCCAAGGAAGGCAGCAGGCGCGCAAAUUACCCAAUCCCGACACGGGGAGGUAGUGACAAUAAAUACUGAUACAGGGCUCUUUUGGGUCUUGUAAUUGGAAUGAGUACAAUUUAAAUCCCUUAACGAGGAACAAUUGGAGGGCAAGUCUGGUGCCAGCAGCCGCGGUAAUUCCAGCUCCAAUAGCGUAUAUUAUAGUUGUUGCAGUUAAAAAGCUCGUAGUUGAACCUUGGGCCUGGCUGGCCGGUCCGCCUCACCGCGUGUACUGGUCCGGCCGGGCCUUUCCUUCUGGGGAACCUCAUGCCCUUCACUGGGCGUGUUGGGGAACCAGGACUUUUACUUUGAAAAGAUUAGAGUGUUCAAAGCAGG